UCUGGUGAUGAUGGCAUGGAAGUAACACUCCUACCCAUUCCGAACAGGAAAGUUAAGAUCCAUAGCGCCGAAGGUACUGC
Molecule: ribosomal RNA, 80 nt
Filed under: Clostridium botulinum
Lineage: Bacteria; Bacillati; Bacillota; Clostridia; Eubacteriales; Clostridiaceae
Source: RNAcentral